GACGAACGCUGGCGGCGUGCUUAACACAUGCAAGUCGAACGGUGAAGCGCCUUCCUUUUUGGGGGGUGGGGAGGAGUGGCGAACGGGUGAGUAACACGUGAGUAACCUGCCCCCUUCUUCUGGAUAACCGCAUGAAAGUGUGGCUAAGACGGGAUAUUCUGGUUCUGUGGCAUGAUGGGUCUGGGAAAGAUAUUGUUUCGGUGGGGGAUGGGCUCGCGGCGGAUCAGCUGGUUGGUGGGGUGAUGGCCUACCAAGGCGGUGAGGGGUAGACGGCCUUAGAGGGUGGCCGGUCAGAGUGGGACUCAGACACGGCUCGGACUCCUACGGGGGGCAGCAGUGGGGAGUAGUGCACAAUGGGCGCAAGCCUGCUGCAGCGACGACGCGGGAGGGAUGGCGGCCUGCGGGUUGUGACCCUCUUUCGCCAGUGAAGCAGGCCUGCCUCGUUUGUGGGUGGGUUGACGGUAGCUGGAUAAGAAGCGCCGGCUAACUACGUG
Molecule: ribosomal RNA, 494 nt
Filed under: uncultured bacterium
Lineage: Bacteria
Description: partial 16S ribosomal RNA
Rfam family: Bacterial small subunit ribosomal RNA
Source: RNAcentral